GUGGGGAAUCUUAGACAAUGGGGGAAACCCUGAUCUAGCCAUGCCGCGUGAGCGAUGAAGGCCUUAGGGUUGUAAAGCUCUUUCAGCUGGGAAGAUAAUGACGGUACCAGCAGAAGAAGCCCCGGCUAACUCCGUGCCAGCAGCCGCGGUAAUACGGAGGGGGCUAGCGUUGUUCGGAAUUACUGGGCGUAAAGCGCGCGUAGGCGGACCAGAAAGUUGGAGGUGAAAUCCCAGGGCUCAACCUUGGAACUGCCUUCAAAACUCCUGGUCUGGAGUUCGAGAGAGGUGAGUGGAAUUCCGAGUGUAGAGGUGAAAUUCGUAGAUAUUCGGAGGAACACCAGUGGCGAAGGCGGCUCACUGGCUCAUUACUGACGCUGAGGCGCGAAAGCGUGGGGAGCAAACAGGAUUAGAAACCCUAGUAGUCC
This 425-nucleotide ribosomal RNA is filed under the name uncultured bacterium. RNAcentral describes it as "partial 16S ribosomal RNA". It matches the Rfam family "Bacterial small subunit ribosomal RNA", at positions 354 to 796 of the family's 1533-position model. The record is from RNAcentral.